UUAAAUAUGGACGAGAGAAAAACCAAUUGCACAGUUUGCAUGUAAAUUGCGAGACGAAUCUUUUUAGUCUAAUUACGCCAUGAUUUGACAAUGUGGUGCUGCAGUAAACAUUUGCUAAAAAGAAUUAAUUAGGCUUAAUAAAUUCAUCUCGCGGUUUAUAGGUCGAAUCUGUAAUUUAUUUUGUUAUUAGUCUACGUUUA
Molecule: unclassified non-coding RNA, 200 nt
Filed under: Oryza sativa (Asian cultivated rice)
Lineage: Eukaryota; Viridiplantae; Streptophyta; Magnoliopsida; Poales; Poaceae
Description: partial microRNA MIR446q precursor
Source: RNAcentral